AACACCUCUUGGCCUUUUGGCUAAGAUCAAGUGUAGUAUCUAUUUCUCUUUGCAUUCUCUGUAGGCUGCUACUUAAUGGAAGUUGUUACCAUGCUAUUGAAAGCAUAAAUAUUAAAAUAUAAUAUUCUCAUUUUGAAUUAUAGCCUUAAGCAUUAUAAAGUAUGCUUCUUUAUGUAUUUAGUGCUUUUUGAUCUGAAUUCCACCUUACCAGAUAUCAAGAUUAUGAAC
This is a small nuclear RNA of Heterocephalus glaber (naked mole-rat), 228 nucleotides long. Its record names the gene U2. It matches the Rfam family "U2 spliceosomal RNA". From Rfam's summary of the family: U2 is a small nuclear RNA (snRNA) component of the spliceosome (involved in pre-mRNA splicing). Complementary binding between U2 snRNA (in an area lying towards the 5' end but 3' to hairpin I) and the branchpoint sequence (BPS) of the intron results the bulging out of an unpaired adenosine, on the BPS, which initiates a nucleophilic attack at the intronic 5' splice site, thus starting the first of two transesterification reactions that mediate splicing. Lineage: Eukaryota; Metazoa; Chordata; Mammalia; Rodentia; Bathyergidae. The record is from Ensembl.